RNAcentral lists this long non-coding RNA (550 nucleotides) under Homo sapiens (human). Its description in RNAcentral is "cancer susceptibility 15". Lineage: Eukaryota; Metazoa; Chordata; Mammalia; Primates; Hominidae. The record is from RNAcentral.
GACUAGGAUUCUCUCAUGCUUAACAUGCAUCUUACUGGUUCUUUAUGAAGAGCUUUCUCUUGGCUCACAGGCAGAAGGAAUUUUCCUUGUCUUGGAUGAGACUUUUGACUUGGACUUUUGGGUUAAGGAUUUACAGAAAGCGUGGUGCUGGCAUCUGAUCAGCUUCUGGGGUGGCCUCAGGAAGCUUACAAUCAUGGUGGCAUUUGAAGUGGAAGCGAGAGAGAGAAGAGGAGAUGCAACACACUUUUAAACAAGAUUUCAGGAGAACUCAUUCACUAUGUUCUGGAGACCAGAAGGCCAAAAUCAAAAGUAUGGGCAGGCUUGAUUUCUUUAGAAGACUCCAGCGGAGAACUGUGUCUCCUUGCUUCUGAUUCUACAUCUCCAUCCAUGGGCCACUGUUUCAGCAACCUCAGCCAGUGCAACACAACCUCAGCCAAGAAGAGUAUGCAGAGAAAGGAGUCCCCUACCUGCCACAAAACUGUUGUCUGAAAACUGUCUCAUAUUGUCUCAAGUUGUCAUUCAUUGUGAAUUAGACCUGUUUAACAUGUAA